RNAcentral lists this ribosomal RNA (405 nucleotides) under uncultured bacterium. Its description in RNAcentral is "partial 16S ribosomal RNA". It matches the Rfam family "Bacterial small subunit ribosomal RNA", at positions 28 to 526 of the family's 1533-position model. The record is from RNAcentral.
GAUGAACGCUGGCGGCGUGCCUAAUACAUGCAAGUCGAGCGAAGCGGGGGCGGGUGAGUAACACGUAGAUAACCUCCGAUAAGAACGGGACAACUUCGGGAAACCGGAGCUAAAACGGCUACUUAUAGAUGGUUCCGCGGUGCAUUCGCUAGUUGGUAAGGUAACGGCUUACCAAGGCAACGAUGCAUAGCCGACCUGUGAGGGGGAUCGGCCACACUGGAACUGAGACACGGUCCAGACUCCUACGGGAGGCAGCAGUAGGGAAUCUUCCGCAAUGGGCGAAAGCCUGACGGAGCAACGCCGCGUGAGUGAUGAAGGUCUUCGGAUCGUAAAACUCUGUUGUUAGAGAAGCGGUAUCUAAUCAGAAAGCCACGGCUAACUACGUGCCAGCAGCCGCGGUAAUAC